AAGCUGCUGCUUCCUUCUUAUUAAACAAUACAACUAAUAAUUAAUUAUUAUUAAAAAUGACUCUGUCUUCUGCUUGAUCUCUCUCAGUCUCAGUAUACCAUCGACCUCCUAAUUUCCCUCACCAAAUUUCUUAAACCUUUUUCUCUUGAUCUGUGCUUCCUUUUUCUGAUUGAAUCGAAUCAUCUCAUCUGGAGUUCAACAUCUUUCUUGCUUGGAAGGUGAGUUUUACUUUCUUUUCCUGUUUUUCUACCACUAAUUUUGUUUCAAAUAAGAUCUGCCCAU
This 282-nucleotide long non-coding RNA is filed under the name Populus tremula. RNAcentral's name for it is "long non-coding RNA (PTRE_LNC003021)". Lineage: Eukaryota; Viridiplantae; Streptophyta; Magnoliopsida; Malpighiales; Salicaceae. The record is from RNAcentral.